UACGAAGGGGGCUAGCGUUGUUCGGAAUUACUGGGCGUAAAGCGUGCGCAGGCGGCUUCUCAAGUCAGGGGUGAAAGCCCAGAGCUCAACUCUGGAAUUGCCUUUGAGACUGAGUGGCUUGAGUACGAGAGAGGUGAGUGGAAUUCCCAGUGUAGAGGUGAAAUUCGUAGAUAUCAGGAAGAACACCCGUGGCGAAGGCGGCUCUCUGGGACGGUACUGACGCUGAGACGCGAAAGCGUGGGGAGCGAACAGG
Molecule: ribosomal RNA, 253 nt
Filed under: uncultured bacterium
Lineage: Bacteria
Description: partial 16S ribosomal RNA
Rfam family: Bacterial small subunit ribosomal RNA
Source: RNAcentral